This 29-nucleotide non-coding RNA is filed under the name Mus musculus (house mouse). Lineage: Eukaryota; Metazoa; Chordata; Mammalia; Rodentia; Muridae. The record is from RNAcentral.
UAGUGUCUCCUGAGUCAUUCAUUUGCUGU